UACGUAGGGUGCAAGCGUUGUCCGGAAUUAUUGGGCGUAAAGAGCGUGUAGGCGGCUCGAUUAGUCCGCUGUGAAAGUCCAAGGCUCAACCCUGGAAUGCCGGUGGAUACUGUCGAGCUAGAGUCCGGAAGGGGCGAGUGGAAUUCCUGGUGUAGCGGUGAAAUGCGCAGAUAUCAGGAGGAACACCUAUGGCGAAGGCAGCUCGCUGGGACGUGACUGACGCUGAGACGCGAAAGCGUGGGGAGCAAACAGG
RNAcentral lists this ribosomal RNA (253 nucleotides) under uncultured bacterium. RNAcentral describes it as "partial 16S ribosomal RNA". It matches the Rfam family "Bacterial small subunit ribosomal RNA", at positions 524 to 776 of the family's 1533-position model. The record is from RNAcentral.